RNAcentral lists this microRNA (23 nucleotides) under Parasteatoda tepidariorum (common house spider). RNAcentral describes it as "pte-miR-11967-3p". The record is from miRBase by way of RNAcentral. Lineage: Eukaryota; Metazoa; Arthropoda; Arachnida; Araneae; Theridiidae.
UAACUCAAAGUCGUAGCUUCGGU